AUUGAAGCUGAGUCAUCUCUUUGAGAACACCAUUCAUCGGAAACUGAUUGAAGGUAUGCGGAAAUGGGAAGGAAAAGUAAUCUCAUCAACAGGUAAUCGUUAGUUAUGCCGAAGAUUUGAUAAAAACACACAACUCAUUUUAGUUAGACAGAACUCGAAAAAA
Molecule: long non-coding RNA, 163 nt
Organism: Culex quinquefasciatus (southern house mosquito)
Lineage: Eukaryota; Metazoa; Arthropoda; Insecta; Diptera; Culicidae
Exons: 2
Source: RefSeq, a predicted model, not a curated record